This 551-nucleotide ribosomal RNA is filed under the name uncultured archaeon. Its description in RNAcentral is "bacterial SSU rRNA". It matches the Rfam family "Archaeal small subunit ribosomal RNA", at positions 326 to 879 of the family's 1478-position model. The record is from RNAcentral.
CGGGGUGCAGCAGGCGCGAAAACUCCACAAUGUACGGAAGUACGAUGGGGUUAUCUCGAGUGCAGUCCGAUAAGGGCUGCUUUUCCAUAGAGUAAUAUCCUGUGGGAAUAAGAGGGGGGCAAGACUGGUGUCAGCCGCCGCGGUAACACCAGCCCCUCGAGUGGUGGGGACUAUUAUUUGGCCUAAAGCGUCCGUAGCUGGCUGUAUCCGUCCCCCGUUAAAUCCAGCGUCCUAAGCGUUGGACCGCGGGUGAUACCAUACAGCUAGAGGGUGGGAUAGGUGAGCGGUAUUUCUGGGGUAGGGGCGAAAUCCUUUGAUCCCAGGAGGACCACCAGUGGCGAAGGCUGCUCACUAGAACACGCCUGACGGUCAGGGACGAAAGCUGGGGCAGCGAACCGGAUUAGAUACCCGGGUAGUCCCAGCUGUAAACGAUGCUAGCUAGGUGUUGGGUCGGCCACGCGCCGCCCCAGUGCCGCAGGGAAGCCGUUAAGCUAGCCGCCUGGGGAGUACGGCCGCAAGGCUGAAACUUAAAGGAAUUGGCGGGGGAGCAC